Silurus meridionalis is the source of this 799-nucleotide long non-coding RNA. RefSeq lists it as uncharacterized. The transcript is spliced from 2 exons. The record is from RefSeq and is a predicted model, not a curated record. Lineage: Eukaryota; Metazoa; Chordata; Actinopteri; Siluriformes; Siluridae.
UGCACCUGAUGCCCAGACCACAAGCUCCUACAUGCAAAAAGGUUCUUUAGAAAUACUCAAUGUUCCAUUUAAUGUAAAUUCUCCACACACACAUCAGUGUUCUAAGAGAAAUGUGGAGCUUCAGGGCUCAUUUAAGAGCAGAGCAGAUGUUGUGCUCAGUCAGGUGUUUGGGCUUUUCCUCGUUAGCAGAAUGCAGCACCUGCCAUCCUGAACACAAGCCUCCACCAUCAAAACGGUUAUUCUCCUGCUGAAAAAGGCUUCUGUUCUUUACAUGGCUUCAUUUUCAAUAAGCUUCUUUCAACAGUAAAGCAUGAGACAGACACUCGAUCAGACACCUAGCUCUGGUGUUGGAGGACUCUGCCAUCCACUCUGCACUUAUGUCACCAUCAGUCACAGGAACUUGAGCAGGAAUGGGAGGUUCUGCUCACAGCUUGGCUCACAGAGAGACCGAUCCGUCUUGCUCAAGGUUCUGAAAUAUUAAAUCUGAUCUUAAAAACUGUAAAGUAUUAAAUUAUUGCAAAAAUAUUCAUUUUUAAAUAACGUUAUUUACAAUUUGCACAACGAAUAAUGCAUGAUUGGUUAGAAUAAGGGGCGGGGCUAAUGCUUGUGCAAAUUCUCAUGACUAAUAAAAAUUCAAACAUUCUUAUGUUCAAACGUUCAUAAACGUGCAUUUAAAUAAAAACAAAAGAGAAUAAAACCCAAACCUCACUACAUGUACUGUAUUAUAAAUGUGCCCAAAGGGCCGGUGUGUGUGACUGCAGGCUCCAGUGUACUGAUAGUAAAUCAUUUUGUAAUUAAA